AACGCUGGCGGCAGGCCUAACACAUGCGAGUCGAGCGCCGUAGCAAUACGGAGCGGCAGACGGGAGAGUAACACGUGGGAACGUACCCUUUGGUUCGGAACAACCCAGGGAAACUUGGGCUAAUACCGGAUAAGCCCUUACGGGGAAAGAUUCAUCGCCGAAGGAUCGGCCCGCGUCUGAUUAGCUAGUUGGUGGGGUAAUGGCCCACCAAGGCGACGAUCAGUAGCUGGUCUGAGAGGAUGAUCAGCCUCACUGGGACUGAGACACGGCCCAGACUCCUACGGGAGGCAGCAGUGGGGAAUAUUGGACAAUGGGCGCAAGCCUGAUCCAGCCAUGCCGCGUGGGUGAUGAAGGCCCUAGGGUUGUAAAGCCCUUUCGGCGGGGAAGAUAAUGACGGUACCCGCAGAAGAAGCCCCGGCUAACUUCGUGCCAGCAGCC
RNAcentral lists this ribosomal RNA (438 nucleotides) under uncultured bacterium. RNAcentral describes it as "bacterial SSU rRNA". It matches the Rfam family "Bacterial small subunit ribosomal RNA", at positions 32 to 516 of the family's 1533-position model. The record is from RNAcentral.